Molecule: ribosomal RNA, 476 nt
Filed under: uncultured bacterium
Lineage: Bacteria
Description: partial 16S ribosomal RNA
Rfam family: Bacterial small subunit ribosomal RNA
Source: RNAcentral
GAUGAACGCUGGCGGCGUGCUUAACACAUGCAAGUCGAGCGAGUGAGUUCUUCGGAACGAUCUAGCGGCGGACGGGUGAGUAACACGUGGGCAACCUGCCUCAUAGAGGGGAAUAGCCUCCCGAAAGGGAGAUUAAUACCGCAUAAAAUUAUCGAGUGGCAUCACAUGAUAAUCAAAGGAGUAAUCCGCUAUGAGAUGGGCCCGCGGCGCAUUAGCUAGUUGGUGAGGUAACGGCUCACCAAGGCGACGAUGCGUAGCCGACCUGAGAGGUUGAUCGGCCACAGUGGGACUGAGACACGGCCCAGGCUCCUACGGGAGGCAGCAGUGGGGAAUAUUGCACAAUGGGGGAAACCCUGAUGCAGCAACGCCGCGUGAGUGAUGAAGGUCUUCGGAUUGUAAAGCUCUGUCUUUGGGGACGAUAAUGACGGUACCCAAGGAGGAAGCCACGGCUAACUACGUGCCAGCCGCCGCCGUAA